GGGGUUGUGACUCAGUGGUAGAUUACUUGCCUAGCAUGUAUGAGGCACUGGGUUCAAUUCUCAGCACCACA
This 71-nucleotide transfer RNA is filed under the name Marmota monax (woodchuck). RNAcentral's name for it is "tRNA.Ala". Lineage: Eukaryota; Metazoa; Chordata; Mammalia; Rodentia; Sciuridae. The record is from RNAcentral.